AGGGAUUUAGUUUAAAUUAAAAUUUUUGUUUUGCAUACAAAGGAUUUAAUCUCUG
This 55-nucleotide transfer RNA is filed under the name Strongyloides stercoralis. RNAcentral describes it as "tRNA-Ala". The record is from RNAcentral. Lineage: Eukaryota; Metazoa; Nematoda; Chromadorea; Rhabditida; Strongyloididae.